This 447-nucleotide ribosomal RNA is filed under the name uncultured bacterium. Its description in RNAcentral is "SSU rRNA". It matches the Rfam family "Bacterial small subunit ribosomal RNA", at positions 26 to 518 of the family's 1533-position model. The record is from RNAcentral.
AGAGCGAACGCUGGCGGCAGGCCUAACACAUGCAAGUCGAGCGCCCGUAGCAAUACGGGAGCGGCAGACGGGAUAGUAACACGUGGGAACGCGCCCUUCGGUUCGGAAUAACUCAGGGAAACUUGAGCUAAUACCGGAUACGCCCUUACGGGGAAAGAUUUAUUGCCGAAGGAACGGCCCGCGUCCGAUUAGCUAGUUGGUGAGGUAAUGGCUCACCAAGGCGACGAUCGGUAGCUGGUCUGAGAGGAUGACCAGCAUCACUGGGACUGAGACACGGCCCAGACUCCUACGGGAGGCAGCAGUGGGGAAUAUUGACAAUGGGCGCAAGCCUGAUCCAGCCAUGCCGCGUGGAUGAUGAAGGCCUUAGGGUUGUAAAGUCCUUUUAACGGGGAAGAUAAUGACGGUACCCGUAGAAUAAGCCCCGGCUAACUUCGUGCCAGCAGCCGC